Long non-coding RNA from Hyla sarda, 486 nucleotides. RefSeq lists it as uncharacterized. Lineage: Eukaryota; Metazoa; Chordata; Amphibia; Anura; Hylidae. The transcript has 3 exons. The record is from RefSeq and is a predicted model, not a curated record.
GCUCGAUUGGACUUAACAAUGUGUGGCUGGAAAAUACAUCUGCUCUAUGGGAAGACCGCCGGGCCUGCGCCAAAACGGCGGCCAGAUUUCUAUUGAAGAAUUGGGGGAAAAAAUACGCCAGUGUGGUGAAAACUGCCACUGAGCCCAAAACCGCAGAAAAACGCCAAAGAUGAGUGACAAAACGCCAAAGGAAAAAAACGCACAGGGUUUUCCUAGGGGAUGAGUGUUUGAUCGGUGAUCCAUUGAAGAGGAAGUCCAUUGUCCCCUCAUCUGAAUGGAGAGGCCGUCAGAUAUAUUCGCUGCCACUUAAUUCAACUCUAUGGACCAUAUAAUAAAGGCACCAUGCUGUUUCAGGCAAGAAGAUUUUCACCUUUGCAAGAGAGAAGAAGUUGAACAAGGGCCUCUCUAAAUUACAUUUGUUGGCCCCACCAUUUGUUCUAUAAAUAUGUGCUAGCAUUUCUCCUGCUGUGUAUAUAGUAGUAUAUA